This 456-nucleotide ribosomal RNA is filed under the name uncultured Chthoniobacter sp. RNAcentral's name for it is "bacterial SSU rRNA". It matches the Rfam family "Bacterial small subunit ribosomal RNA", at positions 342 to 791 of the family's 1533-position model. Lineage: Bacteria; Pseudomonadati; Verrucomicrobiota; Spartobacteria; Chthoniobacterales; Chthoniobacteraceae. The record is from RNAcentral.
CGGGGGGCAGCAGUCGAGAAUUUUUCUCAAUGGGGGAAACCCUGAAGGAGCGACGCCGCGUGGAGGAUGAAGGUCUUCGGAUCGUAAACUCCUGUCAUUUGGGAACAAUUGUUAGCGAUUAACUGUCGUUAACUUGAUAGUACCAGAAGAGGAAGAGACGGCUAACUCUGUGCCAGCAGCCGCGGUAAUACAGAGGUCUCAAGCGUUGUUCGGAUUCAUUGGGCGUAAAGGGUGCGUAGGUGGCGAGGUAAGUCAGGUGUGAAAUCUCGGGGCUCAACCUCGAAACUGCACUUGAUACUGCCUUGCUUGAGUACUGGAGAGGAGAUUGGAAUUUACGGUGUAGCAGUGAAAUGCGUAGAUAUCGUAAGGAAGACCAGUGGCGAAGGCGAAUCUCUGGACAGUUACUGACACUGAGGCACGAAGGCCAGGGGAGCAAACGGGAUUAGAUACCCGAGU